Molecule: ribosomal RNA, 490 nt
Filed under: Scraptia sp. UPOL ZL0190
Lineage: Eukaryota; Metazoa; Arthropoda; Insecta; Coleoptera; Scraptiidae
Description: partial 16S ribosomal RNA
Rfam family: Bacterial large subunit ribosomal RNA
Source: RNAcentral
UUUAAAGUCAGGCCUGCUCAAUGAGGAUUUAAAUAGCUGCAGUAUAUUGACUGUACAAAGGUAGCAUAAUCAUUAGUUUUUUAAUUGAAAGCUGGAAUGAAGGGUUUAAUGAAAAAAUAACUGUCUCUUGGUAAAUAUUUAGAAUUUUAUUUUUAAGUGAAAAAGCUUAAAUUUUUUAAAAAGACGAGAAGACCCUAUAGAGUUUAAUUUUUUAAGAUAAUGAAAUAUUUGGUUAAAAUGGUUUUAUUAUUUUAAAAAAUUUUAUUGGGGUGAUAAUUAAAUUUGUAGAACUUUAAAUUUUAUAAUCAUUAAUAUAUGAAUAUAUGAUCCUUGAUUAGGAUUAUAAGAAUAAAUUACCUUAGGGAUAACAGCGUAAUUUUUUUUGAGAGUUCAAAUCGAAAGAAAAGGUUGCGACCUCGAUGUUGGAUUAAAAUUAAAUUAGGGUGCAGAAGUUCUAAUUUUAAGUCUGUUCGACUUUUAAAAUUUUACA